AAGUCGUAACAAGGUUUCCGUAGGUGAACCUGCGGAAGGAUCAUUAACGAGUUCAGAAAAGGGUUGUAGCUGGCCUCAAAUCCGGGGCAUGUGCACACCCUGCUCAUCCACUCUCACACCUGUGCACUUUCUGUAGGUCGGUUCGGGAUCUGGUCCCUCGCGGGGUCGGGUUCUGUGCCUUCCUAUGUACAAUCACAAACGCUUCAGUAUUCAGAAUGUCAUUGCGAUAAUCAAAACGCAUCUUAUACAACUUUCAGCAACGGAUCUCUUGGCUCUC
Molecule: unclassified non-coding RNA, 277 nt
Filed under: Grifola frondosa (maitake)
Lineage: Eukaryota; Fungi; Basidiomycota; Agaricomycetes; Polyporales; Grifolaceae
Description: partial internal transcribed spacer region
Rfam family: Eukaryotic small subunit ribosomal RNA (bases 1-46)
Source: RNAcentral